This 371-nucleotide ribosomal RNA is filed under the name Enterobacter cloacae. Its description in RNAcentral is "bacterial LSU rRNA". It matches the Rfam family "Bacterial large subunit ribosomal RNA", at positions 2572 to 2925 of the family's 2925-position model. Lineage: Bacteria; Pseudomonadati; Pseudomonadota; Gammaproteobacteria; Enterobacterales; Enterobacteriaceae. The record is from RNAcentral.
UAUGGCUGUUCGCCAUUUAAAGUGGUACGCGAGCUGGGUUUAGAACGUCGUGAGACAGUUCGGUCCCUAUCUGCCGUGGGCGCUGGAGAAUUGAGGGGGCUGCUCCUAGUACGGAGAGGACCGGAGUGGACGCAUCACUGGUGUUCGGGUUGUCAUGCCAAUGGCACUGCCCGGUAGCUAAAUGCGGAAGAGAUAAGUGCUGAAAGCAUCUAAGCACGAAACUUGCCCCGAGAUGAGUUCUCCCUGACUCCUUGAGAGUCCUGAAGGAACGUUGAAGACGACGACGUUGAUAGGUCGGGUGUGUAAGCGCAGCGAUGCGUUGAGCUAACCGAUACUAAUGAACCGUGAGGCUUAACCUUACAACGCCGAAG